Molecule: ribosomal RNA, 485 nt
Filed under: uncultured bacterium
Lineage: Bacteria
Description: partial 16S ribosomal RNA
Rfam family: Bacterial small subunit ribosomal RNA
Source: RNAcentral
AUUGAACGCUGGCGGCAUGCCUUACACAUGCAAGUCGAACGGCAGCACGGGUGCUUGCACCUGGUGGCGAGUGGCGAACGGGUGAGUAAUACAUCGGAACAUGUCCUGUAGUAGGGGAUAGCCCGGCGAAAGCCGGAUUAAUACCGCAUACGAUCUACGGAUGAAAGCGGGGGACCUUCGGGCCUCGCGCUAUAGGGUUGGCCGAUGGCUGAUUAGCUAGUUGGUGGGGUAAAGGCCUACCAAGGCGACGAUCAGUAGCUGGUCUGAGAGGACGACCAGCCACACUGGGACUGAGACACGGCCCAGACUCCUACGGGAGGCAGCAGUGGGGAAUUUUGGACAAUGGGCGAAAGCCUGAUCCAGCAAUGCCGCGUGUGUGAAGAAGGCCUUCGGGUUGUAAAGCACUUUUGUCCGGAAAGAAAUCCUUGGCCCUAAUACGGUCGGGGGAGGACGGUACCGGAAGAAUAAACACCGGCUAACUACGU